AACGGGGGGGAGCUAGUGUUAUUCAUCUUAACUGGGCGUAAAGGGUGUGUAGGCUGUUUUUAUAAAGUUAAAUUAGAGAAUCUAAGCAUAACUUAGAAACUAAUUUUUUAUUUAAAAAAACUAGAGGAUAUAGGAGGUUUGUUGUAUUUUCAAUGGAGAAAUAAAAUUCUGAGAUAUUGAGAGGACGAUCAAAUGGCGGAGGCUACGAACCAUAAUAUUUCUGACGCUGAGACACGAAAAGCAUGGGUAUCAAAUGGG
This 258-nucleotide ribosomal RNA is filed under the name uncultured bacterium. RNAcentral's name for it is "partial 16S ribosomal RNA". It matches the Rfam family "Bacterial small subunit ribosomal RNA", at positions 523 to 776 of the family's 1533-position model. The record is from RNAcentral.